This 253-nucleotide ribosomal RNA is filed under the name uncultured bacterium. RNAcentral describes it as "partial 16S ribosomal RNA". It matches the Rfam family "Bacterial small subunit ribosomal RNA", at positions 524 to 776 of the family's 1533-position model. The record is from RNAcentral.
GACGUAGGGGACGAGCGUUGUCCGGAUUCAUUGGGCGUAAAGCGUGCGCAGGCGGUUUUGUAAGUCUGUCGUGAAAUCCCCGGGCUCAACCUGGGAAUUGCGAUGGAGACUGCAAGGCUAGAAUCUGGCAGAGGGGGGUAGAAUUCCACGUGUAGCAGUGAAAUGCGUAGAGAUGUGGAGGAACACCGAUGGCGAAGGCAGCCCCCUGGGUCAAGAUUGACGCUCAUGCACGAAAGCGUGGGGAGCAAACAGG